GCUGGCGUAGCUCAAAGGAAGAGCUUUCAAAAUCUGCGACACGCUUGGAAGACAGGUUGGGUGCGGGUUCGAGUCCCGCCGUCAGCA
Molecule: transfer RNA, 87 nt
Filed under: Caudoviricetes sp.
Lineage: Duplodnaviria; Heunggongvirae; Uroviricota; Caudoviricetes
Description: tRNA-OTHER
Rfam family: tRNA
About the family: Transfer RNA (tRNA) molecules are approximately 80 nucleotides in length. Their secondary structure includes four short double-helical elements and three loops (D, anti-codon, and T loops).
Source: RNAcentral